RNAcentral lists this ribosomal RNA (253 nucleotides) under uncultured bacterium. RNAcentral's name for it is "partial 16S ribosomal RNA". It matches the Rfam family "Bacterial small subunit ribosomal RNA", at positions 524 to 776 of the family's 1533-position model. The record is from RNAcentral.
UACGUAUGGUGCAAGCGUUAUCCGGAUUUACUGGGUGUAAAGGGAGCGCAGGCGGCACGGCAAGCCUGAUGUGAAAGCCCGCGGCCCAACCGCGGGACUGCAUUGGGAACUACCGGGCUGGAGUGCCGGAGAGGUAGGCGGAAUUCCUAGUGUAGCGGUGAAAUGCGUAGAUAUUAGGAGAAACACCAGUGGCGAAGGCGGCCUACUGGACGGUGACUGACGCUGAGGCUCGAAAGCGUGGGGAGCAAACAGG